RNAcentral lists this ribosomal RNA (497 nucleotides) under uncultured bacterium. Its description in RNAcentral is "partial 16S ribosomal RNA". It matches the Rfam family "Bacterial small subunit ribosomal RNA", at positions 28 to 507 of the family's 1533-position model. The record is from RNAcentral.
GACGAACGCUGGCGGCGUGCCUAAUACAUGCAAGUUGAGCGAUGAAGAUUGGUGCUUGCACCAAUUUGAAGAGCAGCGAACGGGUGAGUAACGCGUGGGGCAUCUGCCUUUGAGCGGGGGACAACAUUUGGAAACGAAUGCUAAUACCGCAUAACAACUUUAAACAUAAGUUUUAAGUUUGAAAGAUGCAAUUGCAUCACUCAAAGAUGAUCCCGCGUUGUAUUAGCUAGUUGGUGAGGUAAAGGCUCACCAAGGCGAUGAUACAUAGCCGACCUGAGAGGGUGAUCGGCCGCAUUGGGACUGAGACACGCCCCAAACUGCUACGGGAGGCAGCAGUAGGGAAUCGUCGGCAAUGGACGAAAGUCUGACCGAGCAACGCGGCGUGAGUGAAGAAGGUUUUCGGAUCGUAGAACUCUGUUGGUAGGGAAGAACGUUGGUGAGAGUGGAAAGCUCAUCAAGUGACGGUAACUACCCAGAAAGGGACGGCUAACUACGUG